Small nuclear RNA from Nycticebus coucang (slow loris), 107 nucleotides. NCBI's taxonomy places the organism in Eukaryota, Metazoa, Chordata, Mammalia, Primates, Lorisidae. The record is from RefSeq and is a predicted model, not a curated record.
GUGCUCGCUUCAGCAGCACUUACAUUAAAAUUGGAAUGAUACAGAGAAGAUUAGCAUGGCCCCUGCACAAGGAUGACAUGCAAAUUCGUGAAGCGUUCCGUUAAAAA